GAAAAAGCAGUGUCCACACCAGUGUGUUUGCCAUGCAUCUGUGGGCAAAAGAGAAAAGAAAGAACAACAUCAUGUCCGCUUGUAUUCGCAUGAAGGAACUCUGGAAGGAUCCAGGAGAAACUGAUGAUACAGGAGUGAAGAAAGAGGUUCUGGAAAACCGAGUUUGGUGACUCCACCUGCCAGCCCGCUGACGGAGAUGACACAGGUGCCUGAGAUGGAGUCUGAAUAAGCCACUUCCUGAAAGAUGGGAUCCGAGGCACGGAGAAAAUACAUAAGAGCCAGUAAACCACCUCAAGCCACCUGAGCCCAGAGUCUGUCUUAACCACUGCCUUCAACUGCCCCUCCAGAGAGAAGACUCAGAGCAAAAAGAAGUUAAGUAACUUGCCCUAAAUCACCAGCAAGGAAGAAGCAAAGUAUUGAUUCAAAUCCAGGUUUUGCUGCAAGUUUCUGAGACCAGGACACAGUGUUUCUCCGCCUUCCCAUGGCUGAGUUGUCAGAAACUUGUCAAAAAUGCAUGUCCCAGUCUUCCUGAAGAAAGUGAAAGUGUUAGUUGUCCAGUCCUGUCUGACUCUUUGC
Long non-coding RNA from Bubalus bubalis (water buffalo), 576 nucleotides. RefSeq lists it as uncharacterized. NCBI's taxonomy places the organism in Eukaryota, Metazoa, Chordata, Mammalia, Artiodactyla, Bovidae. The transcript has 3 exons. The record is from RefSeq and is a predicted model, not a curated record.